AACGAACGCUGGCGGCAGGCUUAACACAUGCAAGUCGAACGCGAAAUCACCUUCGGGUGGUGGAGAGUGGCAGACGGGUGAGUAACGCGUGGGAACCUACCUAGUGGUACGGAAUAACUCAGGGAAACUUGGGCUAAUACCGUAUGUGCCCGAAAGGGGAAAGAUUCAUCGCCACUAGAUGGGCCCGCGUCGGAUUAGCUUGUUGGUGAGGUAACGGCUCACCAAGGCGACGAUCCGUAGCUGGUCUGAGGGAAUGAUCAGCCACACUGGGACUGAGACACGGCCCAGACUCCUACGGGAGGCAGCAGUGGGGAAUAUUGGACAAUGGGCGCAAGCCUGAUCCAGCCAUGCCGCGUGAGUGAUGAAGGCCCUAGGGUUGUAAAGCUCUUUCGGCGGGGACGAUAAUGACGGUACCCGCAGAAGAAGCCCCGGCUAACUUCGUGCCAGCCGCCGCAGUAA
This 459-nucleotide ribosomal RNA is filed under the name uncultured bacterium. RNAcentral describes it as "partial 16S ribosomal RNA". It matches the Rfam family "Bacterial small subunit ribosomal RNA", at positions 29 to 523 of the family's 1533-position model. The record is from RNAcentral.